CUUUUUUUUCCUUGUUGCUGAGGAAAUGGAAUAUGAAGCCAUUAUUUUAUGGCAGCUACCAUUUUAGCUCUAGCACAUGCUCUGCAACGUGAGAAGAUUAAAUACCAAACCAGUACCAGUACAUACUUUCCUAAAGGUUUACUGCUUUUCACCUUCUAGUUUGAACAAAAAAUUUUUCAAAUAUGUCAAGCUUACAAUCUUUCAUCAGAGUCCUCUUGCGUAAUCAAACAAGCAUCCAACGAGUGUCUCUUUUUUCUUUUACUUUUGCCUCGUAAGAGGGUAGGUUGAAAAAAGAGUAGUAGGAGUAGGUGGGUUUGACUGGCAGGUUUGGCAGUUGCCACUUGAAAGAAUUUGUUCACGUAUAUUGUUAACUGUCAAAGUUUUACUUAAGUAGUUGGCAUAUGUCCUUGAAUAUAUGCUCCCUAUAAAUUUUCAAGUGACCUGAACCCCAAUUCUCAGAACUCGGAACCAUAUAAUCUAUAGACUCCCUUGGCGUCGUCUCCUGCCAAAAUCUGGAACUUGGGUUAUUUCCAGUGGCACCACAGUGGUAGCGUAGACUGCUGAAUGAGGCCACCUGGCCCUGGAGGACCCGGACCAGGACCUGGACCUGGACCUGGCUGGGGUCCUCCAGGACCUGGUCUCCCUGGAGGUUUCUUCAAUGGCUUGUUCAGUGCGGUAUCAUCUUGCUUCUACAUCUUAUGCUGUUGCUGGCUGUUUCAAGACUGCUUUGGUGCCCCACCAGCACCUCCAGCUCCAGGUCCGCCUCUGGCUCCGGCUCCGGCUCCUGCUCCGGCUCCACCUCCUCCUCCUGUGCCUCUUGGACCACCUCCACCUCCACCUGGACCUCCUGGACCCCCGGGUGGCCCACCUGGUCCUCCAGGACCACCUCCUCCAUAAUCCCAUGACUCGAUCUAAUAUCUAACCACAUAAGAGGAGUCUGAAAUGAUUGCUAUCUUGGCUUAAAAGAUUGUUACUAGUUAUUGUUAAAGCCAUUAGAAAAGCUUGUUUGAUGUUUAUGCAAUAAUAUUACAUUGUGGAACAACCAACCAUAUAUAAUUACAAUCUACAAGGUGUCAUUAAGAAUAGCUAAUCAUUUGUUUUCACUAAUCCAGACAAG
Molecule: unclassified non-coding RNA, 1117 nt
Filed under: Hevea brasiliensis (rubber tree)
Lineage: Eukaryota; Viridiplantae; Streptophyta; Magnoliopsida; Malpighiales; Euphorbiaceae
Source: RNAcentral